Molecule: ribosomal RNA, 450 nt
Filed under: uncultured bacterium
Lineage: Bacteria
Description: partial 16S ribosomal RNA
Rfam family: Bacterial small subunit ribosomal RNA
Source: RNAcentral
CCUACGGGGGGCUGCAGUUUCGAAUCAUUCACAAUGGGCGAAAGCCUGAUGGUGCGACGCCGCGUGAGGGAUGAAGGUCUUCGGAUUGUAAACCUCUGUCACUGGGGAGAAAACGCUUUGAGUUAAUAGUUCAAAGCCUGAUUUAACCCGGAGAGGAAGCAGUGGCUAACUCUGUGCCAGCAGCCGCGGUAAUACAGAGACUGCAAGCGUUAUCCGGAUUCACUGGGCGUAAGUUGGGUGUAGCAGGUGGGGAAUCCCGAGGCUUAACCUCGGAACUGCGUCUGAAACUACUCGACUAGAGUACUGGAGAGGGAAACGGAAUUCACGGUGUAGCAGUGAAAUGCGUAGAUAUCGUGAGGAACACCAGAGGCGAAGGCGGUUUCCUGGACAGUUACUGACGCUCAGGCACGAAAGCAUGGGGAGCAAAAGGGAUUAGAUACCCUAGUAGUC